ACCGGAGCUUGCUCCACCGGAAAAGAAGAGUGGCGAACGGGUGAGUAACACGUGGGUAACCUGCCCAUCAGAAGGGGAUAACACUUGGAAACAGGUGCUAAUACCGUAUAACAAUCGAAACCGCAUGGUUUUGAUUUGAAAGGCGCUUUCGGGUGUCGCUGAUGGAUGGACCCGCGGUGCAUUAGCUAGUUGGUGAGGUAACGGCUCACCAAGGCCACGAUGCAUAGCCCGACCCUGAGAGGGUGAUCGGCCACAUUGGGACUGAGACACGGCCCAAACUCC
RNAcentral lists this ribosomal RNA (282 nucleotides) under uncultured Enterococcus sp. RNAcentral describes it as "partial 16S ribosomal RNA". It matches the Rfam family "Bacterial small subunit ribosomal RNA", at positions 72 to 339 of the family's 1533-position model. The record is from RNAcentral. Lineage: Bacteria; Bacillati; Bacillota; Bacilli; Lactobacillales; Enterococcaceae.